UAGGGAAUCUUCCACAAUGGGCGCAAGCCUGAUGGAGCAACGCCGCGUGUGUGAUGAAGGCUUUCGGGUCGUAAAGCACUGUUGUAUGGGAAGAAAUGCUAAAAUAGGGAAUGAUUUUAGUUUGACGGUACCAUACCAGAAAGGGACGGCUAAAUACGUGCCAGCAGCCGCGGUAAUACGUAUGUCCCGAGCGUUAUCCGGAUUUAUUGGGCGUAAAGCGAGCGCAGACGGUUGAUUAAGUCUGAUGUGAAAGCCCGGAGCUCAACUCCGGAAUGGCAUUGGAAACUGGUUAACUUGAGUGUUGUAGAGGUAAGUGGAACUCCAUGUGUAGCGGUGGAAUGCGUAGAUAUAUGGAAGAACACCAGUGGCGAAGGCGGCUUACUGGACAACAACUGACGUUGAGGCUCGAAAGUGUGGGUAGCAAACAGGAUUAGAUACCCUGGUAGUCCACACCGUAAACGAUGAAUACUAGGUGUUAGGAGGUUUCCGCCUCUUAGUGCCGAAGCUAACGCAUUAAGUAUUCCGCCUGGGGAGUACGACCGCAAGGUUG
This 550-nucleotide ribosomal RNA is filed under the name uncultured bacterium. RNAcentral describes it as "bacterial SSU rRNA". It matches the Rfam family "Bacterial small subunit ribosomal RNA", at positions 355 to 896 of the family's 1533-position model. The record is from RNAcentral.